UACGGAAGGCAGCAGUGGGGAAUAUUGCACAAUGGGCGCAAGCCUGAUGCAGCCAUGCCGCGUGUAUGAAGAAGGCCUUCGGGUUGUAAAGUACUUUCAGUCGUGAGGAAGGUGUUAAGGUUAAUAACCUUAGCAAUUGACGUUAGCGACAGAAGAAGCACCGGCUAACUCCGUGCCAGCAGCCGCGGUAAUACGGAGGGUGCGAGCGUUAAUCGGAAUUACUGGGCGUAAAGGGCACGCAGGCGGUUAAUAAGUUGGAUGUGAAAUCCCCGGGCUUAACCUGGGAAUGGCAUUCAAGACUGGUUAGCUAGAGUCUUGUAGAGGGGGUAGAAUUCCAUGUGUAGCGGUGAAAUGCGUAGAGAUGUGGAGGAAUACCGGUGGCGAAGGCGGCCCCUGGGACAAAGGCUGACGCUCAUGUGCGAAAGCGUGGGGAGCAAACAGGGAUUAGAUACC
RNAcentral lists this ribosomal RNA (453 nucleotides) under uncultured bacterium. RNAcentral describes it as "bacterial SSU rRNA". It matches the Rfam family "Bacterial small subunit ribosomal RNA", at positions 340 to 786 of the family's 1533-position model. The record is from RNAcentral.